GUGCAUGCUUCGGCAGCACAUAUACUAUACCUGGAACGAUACAGAGAAGAUUAGCAUAGGCCCUGCACAAGGAUAACGUGCAAAUUCAUGAAGAGUUUGUUAUUUUU
This is a small nuclear RNA of Psammomys obesus (fat sand rat), 107 nucleotides long. Lineage: Eukaryota; Metazoa; Chordata; Mammalia; Rodentia; Muridae. The record is from RefSeq and is a predicted model, not a curated record.